GGGGACUGCCAGAUAGUUCAUGAGGUGUUGGCCCUUUGCAAAGCCAGCGACCCCAAGCUAGUGUUCCUAAGUGAGACUAGACAGGAUGUAGGGAGGAUGGAAAAGUUGAAGUGGAGACUCGAUCUUAAGGGUUUCAAUGGUGUGAGGAGCAAUGGACUGAGUGGUGGUCUGGCCCUUUACCGGGAUGAGUCCUUGGAUGUGUCUGUGCUGGAUGCAUGCGCUUGA
Molecule: ribosomal RNA, 225 nt
Filed under: Triticum aestivum (bread wheat)
Lineage: Eukaryota; Viridiplantae; Streptophyta; Magnoliopsida; Poales; Poaceae
Description: partial small subunit ribosomal RNA
Source: RNAcentral